GGCCGGAUAAGGCGUUUACGCCGCAUCCGGCAUUUGAGCAUAGUGCCUGAUGCGACGUUGACGCGUCGUAUCAGGC
Molecule: non-coding RNA, 76 nt
Filed under: uncultured Escherichia sp.
Lineage: Bacteria; Pseudomonadati; Pseudomonadota; Gammaproteobacteria; Enterobacterales; Enterobacteriaceae
Description: Nucleoid-associated noncoding RNA 4 (CssrE)
Rfam family: Nucleoid-associated noncoding RNA 4 (CssrE)
About the family: In E. coli small RNA transcribed from repeated extragenic palindromic element (REP325) called nucleoid-associated ncRNA 4 (nRNA4) collaborates HU protein in condensing the DNA. The secondary structure but not the sequence of the RNA is important in nucleoid condensation. Also identified in Shigella as CssrE.
Source: RNAcentral